This 740-nucleotide ribosomal RNA is filed under the name uncultured archaeon. RNAcentral describes it as "bacterial SSU rRNA". It matches the Rfam family "Archaeal small subunit ribosomal RNA", at positions 4 to 744 of the family's 1478-position model. The record is from RNAcentral.
CUGGUUGAUCCUGCCAGAGGUCACUGCUAUCGGGGUUCGAUUAACCCAUGCGAGUCGAGGGGGUUCGGCCCUCGGCGGACUGCUCAGUAACACGUGGAUAACCUGCCCUAGGGUGGGGCAUAACCCCGGGAAACUGGGGAUAAUACCCCAUAGGUUAGAGAUGCUGGAAUGGCCUUUAACCCAAAGCUCCGGCGCCUUAGGAUGGAUCUGCGGGCGGUUAGGGUAGUUGUNUGGGGUAACGGGCCAACAAGCCUGUAAUCGGUACGGGGUUGUGGGAGCAAGAGCCCGGAGAUGGACUCUGAGACACGAGUCCAGGGCCUACGGGGCGCAGCAGGCGCGAAAACUUUACAGUGGAGGAAACUGUGAUAAGGGAACCCCGAGUGGCCGGAUACGCGGGCUGGCCAGGUGGAUAAAAAGCAUCUGAANAAAGGGCCGGGCAAGAGCGGUGGCANGCCGGCGCGGUAAUAGCGGCGGGCUCGAGUGGUGGCCACUUUUAGUGGGCUUAGAGGGUCGNAAAGCUUGGUUGUUAAGUCUCUUGGGAAUCUCACGGCUCAGGCGUGAGGGGUACUAGGGAUACUGGGCACCUANGGNACCGANANAGGUGAGAGUACUCNNNNGGGGUAGGAGUGGAAUCCUGGAAUCCUUGGGGGGACGNCUUGGGGGNGAAGGGCCUCAACAGACGGGUUCCUAGGGUGAAGGGACAAAAGCUGGGGGAGCAAACGGAUUAAAUUCCCCGGUAG